Molecule: unclassified non-coding RNA, 278 nt
Filed under: Hevea brasiliensis (rubber tree)
Lineage: Eukaryota; Viridiplantae; Streptophyta; Magnoliopsida; Malpighiales; Euphorbiaceae
Source: RNAcentral
UUUUUUUUUUUUUUUAUAAUUUUAGUUUUCUACAUUUUAUUAGAUAUUUAGGCCAAAAGUCACAUCUAAGGGUGAAUUAACCAAAUUGCCCCUUACCGGUCUGAUUCCUUAUUCCAAUAGUGCUAAAUUGUCUCCGGAACCCUAAUUUUAUUUUUUGAGCUUGUUCUCAAUUAUUUUCUAUGGUUUUCAUAGUUUCACUAGCUUCGCAAUAAUUCUUAGGCCUGGGGUGUCAUGAGGUCUUACUCGAAAAUUCGGCAGCGACUGACCUCGCAGUCACU